This 208-nucleotide ribosomal RNA is filed under the name uncultured Hyphomicrobiales bacterium. RNAcentral describes it as "uncultured Rhizobiales bacterium partial 16S ribosomal RNA". It matches the Rfam family "Bacterial small subunit ribosomal RNA", at positions 568 to 775 of the family's 1533-position model. Lineage: Bacteria; Pseudomonadati; Pseudomonadota; Alphaproteobacteria; Hyphomicrobiales. The record is from RNAcentral.
CACGUAGGCGGACUUGCCAGUCAGGGGUGAAAUCCCGGGGCUCAACCUCGGAACUGCCCUUGAUACAGCAAGUCUCGAGUCCGGAAGAGGUGAGUGGAAUUCCUAGUGUAGAGGUGAAAUUCGUAGAUAUUAGGAAGAACACCAGUGGCGAAGGCGGCUCACUGGUCCGGCACUGACGCUGAGGUGCGAAAGCGUGGGGAGCAAACAG